RNAcentral lists this ribosomal RNA (223 nucleotides) under uncultured bacterium. RNAcentral describes it as "partial 16S ribosomal RNA". It matches the Rfam family "Bacterial small subunit ribosomal RNA", at positions 15 to 228 of the family's 1533-position model. The record is from RNAcentral.
GAUCCUGGCUCAGGAUGAACGCUGGCGGCGUGCCUAAUACAUGCAAGUAGAACGCUGAAGGAAGGAGCUUGCUCUUUCUGGAUGAGUUGCGAACGGGUGAGUAACGCGUAGGUAACCUGCCUAGUAGCGGGGGAUAACUAUUGGAAACGAUAGCUAAUACCGCAUAACAGUAGAUGUUGCAUGACAUUUGCUUGAAAGGGGCAAUUGCUCCACUACCAGAUGG